GAAAUGCGAUAAGUAAUGUGAAUUGCAGAAUUCAGUGAAUCAUCGAAUCUUUGAACGCACAUUGCGCCCGCCAGCACUCUGGCGGGCAUGCCUGUCCGAGCGUCAUUUCAACCCUCAGCCCCCCCGGGGACUGGUGUUGGGGAUCGGCCCGCCCUGGCGCGGCGCCGUCCCCGAAAUACAGUGGCGGUCUCGCUGCAGCCUCCCCUGCGUAGUAGCACACCUCGCAUUGGAGAGCGGCGCGGCCACGCCGUGAAACCCCAACUUCUGAUAGUUGACCUCGGAUCAGGUAGGAAUACCCGCUGAACUUAA
Molecule: unclassified non-coding RNA, 309 nt
Filed under: uncultured Stachybotryaceae
Lineage: Eukaryota; Fungi; Ascomycota; Sordariomycetes; Hypocreales; Stachybotryaceae
Description: sequence contains ITS1
Rfam family: 5.8S ribosomal RNA (bases 1-105)
Source: RNAcentral